GGGGCAGCGAGGGAGACACAGAAUCUGAAGCAGGCUCCAGGCCCCCAGCUGUCAGCAAAGAGCCCGAUGCAGGGCUUGAACUCACAAACCUCAAGAUCGUGAC
Long non-coding RNA from Lynx canadensis (Canada lynx), 103 nucleotides. RefSeq lists it as uncharacterized. The transcript has 3 exons. The record is from RefSeq and is a predicted model, not a curated record. NCBI's taxonomy places the organism in Eukaryota, Metazoa, Chordata, Mammalia, Carnivora, Felidae.